CGGCGGCGGCUAUACAUGCAGUCGAACGAACUUCCGUUAAUUGAUUAUGACGUACUUGUACUGAUUGAGAUUUUAACGCGAAGUGAGUGGCGAACGGGUGAGUAACACGUGGGUAACCUGCCCAGAAGUAGGGGAUAACACCUGGAAACAGAUGCUAAUACCGUAUAACAGAGAAAACCGCAUGGUUUUCUUUUAAAAGAUGGCUCUGCUAUCACUUCUGGAUGGACCCGCGGCGUAUUAGCUAGUUGGGGAGGUAAAGGCUCACCAAGGCAGUGAUACGUAGCCGACCUGAGAGGGUAAUCGGACACAUUGGGACUGAGACACGGCCCAGACUCCUACGGGAGGCAGCAUUAGGGAAUCUUCCACAAUGGACGCAAGUCUGAUGGAGCAACGCCGCGUGAGUGAAGAAGGGUUUCGGCUCGUAAAGCUCUGUUGUUAAAGAAGAACGUGGGUAAGAGUAACUGUUUACCCAGUGACGGUAUUUAACCAGAAAGCCACGGCUAACUACGUGCCAGCAGCCGCGGUAAUACGUAGGUGGCAAGCGUUAUCCGGAUUUAUUGGGCGUAAAGCGAGCGCAUGCGGUCUUUUAAGUCUAAUGUGAAAGCCUUCGGCUCAACCGAAGAAGUGCAUUGGACACUGGGAGACUUGAGUGCAGAAGAGGACAGUGGAACUCCAUGUGUAGCGGUGAAAUGCGUAGAUAUAUGGAAGAACACCAGUGGCGAAUGCGGCUGUCUGGUCUGCAACUGACGCUGAGGCUCGAAAGCAUGGGUAGCGAACACGAUUAGAUACCCUGGUAGUCCAUGCCGUAAACGAUGAUUACUAAGUGUUGGAGGGUUUCCGCCCUUCAGUGCUGCAGCUAACGCAUUAAGUGAGUCCGCCUGGGCGAGUACGACCAGCAAUGGUUGAAACUUCAAAAGGAGUUGACGGGGGCCCCGCACAAAGCUGGUGGUGUCAUGUGGAAUUUAAUUCGAAGCAUACGUCGAAAGAAGCCUUUACCAUGCUCUUUGACAUCUUCUGACAGUCUACGAGACUCUAUACGUUCACCUUACUGGGGCACAGGAAUGGACAUGGUUGGUGCAUCGACUUGUCGUUCAAGCUACGAUGUCGUGGAGUAAUGUUUGGCGGCUCUAACAGU
This 1135-nucleotide ribosomal RNA is filed under the name Pediococcus pentosaceus. Its description in RNAcentral is "bacterial SSU rRNA". It matches the Rfam family "Bacterial small subunit ribosomal RNA", at positions 37 to 1121 of the family's 1533-position model. Lineage: Bacteria; Bacillati; Bacillota; Bacilli; Lactobacillales; Lactobacillaceae. The record is from RNAcentral.